RNAcentral lists this ribosomal RNA (253 nucleotides) under uncultured bacterium. RNAcentral's name for it is "partial 16S ribosomal RNA". It matches the Rfam family "Bacterial small subunit ribosomal RNA", at positions 524 to 776 of the family's 1533-position model. The record is from RNAcentral.
UACGUAGGGGGCGAGCGUUGUCCGGAAUUAUUGGGCGUAAAGGGUGCGUAGGCGGCCGCUUAAGUCCUGUGUGAAAGGCCCCGGCUUAACCGGGGAGGGUCAUGGGAAACUGGGCGGCUUGAGUGCCGGAGAGGGUGGCGGAAUUCCCGGUGUAGCGGUGAAAUGCGUAGAGAUCGGGAGGAACACCAGUGGCGAAGGCGGCCACCUGGACGGCAACUGACGCUGAGGCACGACAGCUGGGGGAGCAAACAGG